UAGCAUGAAGAAUCACUA
Molecule: ribosomal RNA, 18 nt
Filed under: Cladocopium sp. clade C
Lineage: Eukaryota; Dinophyceae; Suessiales; Symbiodiniaceae
Description: partial 28S ribosomal RNA
Source: RNAcentral